CCUACGGGGGGCUGCAGUGGGGAAUAUUGGACAAUGGGGGGAACCCUGAUCCAGCCAUGCCGCGUGUGUGAAGAAGGUCCUCGGGUUGUAAAGCACUUUCAGUGAGGAAGAACGCCUGGUGGUUAAUACCCAUCAGGAAAGACAUCACUCACAGAAGAAGCACCGGCUAACUCCGUGCCAGCAGCCGCGGUAAUACGGAGGGUGCGAGCGUUAAUCGGAAUUACUGGGCGUAAAGCGCGCGUAGGUGGCUUGAUAAGCCGGUUGUGAAAGCCCCGGGCUCAACCUGGGAACGGCAUCCGGAACUGUCAAGCUAGAGUGCAGGAGAGGAAGGUAGAAUUCCCGGUGUAGCGGUGAAAUGCGUAGAGAUCGGGAGGAAUACCAGUGGCGAAGGCGGCCUUCUGGACUGACACUGACACUGAGGUGCGAAAGCGUGGGUAGCAAACAGGAUUAGAUACCCUUGUAGUC
This 465-nucleotide ribosomal RNA is filed under the name Vreelandella stevensii. Its description in RNAcentral is "partial 16S ribosomal RNA". It matches the Rfam family "Bacterial small subunit ribosomal RNA", at positions 338 to 795 of the family's 1533-position model. Lineage: Bacteria; Pseudomonadati; Pseudomonadota; Gammaproteobacteria; Oceanospirillales; Halomonadaceae. The record is from RNAcentral.